Dermochelys coriacea (leatherback sea turtle) is the source of this 109-nucleotide long non-coding RNA. RefSeq lists it as uncharacterized. The transcript is spliced from 3 exons. NCBI's taxonomy places the organism in Eukaryota, Metazoa, Chordata, Testudines, Dermochelyidae. The record is from RefSeq and is a predicted model, not a curated record.
CAGCAGCUCAGGGUGGUGGGGAGGAAUAGCUCAGUGGUUUGAGCAAUGGCCUGCCUAAACCCAGGGGUGUGAGUUCAAUCCUUAAGGGGGGCCAUUUUGGGAUCUGGGG